AAAACUUUCAACAACGGAUCUCUUGGUUCUGGCAUCGAUGAAGAACGNAGCGANAUGCGAUAAGUAAUGUGAAUUGCAGAAUUCAGUGAAUCAUCGAAUCUUUGAACGCACAUUGCGCCCCUCGGUAUUCCGGGGGGCAUGCCUGUUCGAGCGUCAUU
This 158-nucleotide ribosomal RNA is filed under the name Ramalina americana. Its description in RNAcentral is "5.8S ribosomal RNA". It matches the Rfam family "5.8S ribosomal RNA". Rfam says of the family: 5.8S ribosomal RNA (5.8S rRNA) is a component of the large subunit of the eukaryotic ribosome. The record is from RNAcentral. Lineage: Eukaryota; Fungi; Ascomycota; Lecanoromycetes; Lecanorales; Ramalinaceae.